RNAcentral lists this ribosomal RNA (253 nucleotides) under uncultured bacterium. RNAcentral's name for it is "partial 16S ribosomal RNA". It matches the Rfam family "Bacterial small subunit ribosomal RNA", at positions 524 to 776 of the family's 1533-position model. The record is from RNAcentral.
UACGAAGGGGGCUAGCGUUGUUCGGAAUCACUGGGCGUAAAGGGCGCGUAGGCGGCCUGAUAAGUCGGGGGUGAAAGCCUGUGGCUCAACCACAGAAUUGCCUUCGAUACUGUUAGGCUUGAGACCGGAAGAGGUAAGUGGAACUGCGAGUGUAGAGGUGAAAUUCGUAGAUAUUCGCAAGAACACCAGUGGCGAAGGCGGCUUACUGGUCCGGUUCUGACGCUGAGGCGCGAAAGCGUGGGGAGCGAACAGG